Molecule: long non-coding RNA, 1845 nt
Organism: Phyllopteryx taeniolatus (common seadragon)
Lineage: Eukaryota; Metazoa; Chordata; Actinopteri; Syngnathiformes; Syngnathidae
Exons: 3
Source: RefSeq, a predicted model, not a curated record
AAUAUUUGGUUAAUUUUCACUGAUUACGACCAAGCCCGAUUACCUCCAGACCAGUUCAAUCACGAAAUCACUUGAACAGAAUAUGUCCCGACAAAAUCAACUUGGAGAAAAGAUCUAAAAAAACCUGCAACAAAAUGACACGAUCCAAAGAAAUUCCAGAACAGUCGAGAAAUAAAGUCAUUGAAGUCAGUCUGGAAAGGGUUACGAAAGCCAUUUCUUAAGCUUUCAGAUUCCAGCAAACCAUAGGGAGAGCCAUUAUCAUCACAUGGAGAAAACAUGGAACAGUGGUGACCCUUCCCAGGAGUGGCCGGCCUACAAAGAUUACCCCAAGAGAACAGCAACGACUCAUCCAGGAGGCCACAAACGAACUCAGGACAACUUCGAAAGAACUGCAGGCCUCCCUUGCCUCAGUUGAGAUCAACAAGCUUCCGCGGAGCUAAUGAAGCCUCACCGCCGCCCCCACGCAACCCGACCGCCACUCCGUCCCUGCAUUAUUUCCGCGACCAAAAAAGCUGCCGUGUCUGUUUACGCCUCAGCGAGCCGCUGCGCACCCACGCAGUGGAUGGCGAGCGUGGAACUUCUGCGCGGAGGGUCAAAAAGGGUCUACGCAAAACAUCUGCUGAUCCCUCCCCCGUGUCGUGCCGCGAACUCACCACCGCGCCGCCAUGCGGGUAAACAAACAUGGCAGAAACCUAAUUGAAUUAUUUCCGUCAGACAACAAGCAUGCGGAUCGGCGGCACGGACACGUUUGCUACCACAUUGGAGGCAAAAGUCAGCAUGCCGCAUAGAGACCUCACAUCACAGCGCACUUUAGGAUUAAUGCCACAUGGGUCGCCACAGCGCGUCGUCCUUUUGCCAUGAGAGCCUAUCUCCUGCAUCCUCCUCUCGAACACCAACUGCCCUCCUGUCUUCCCUCACGACAUCCAUCAACCUUGUCCUUGGUCUUCCUCUAGCUCUCUUGCCUGGCAGCUCCAUCUUCAUCAUCCUUCUACCAAUAUACUGACUAUUUCUCCUCUGGACGUGUCCAAACCAUCGAAGUCUGCUCUCUCUAACUUUGUCUCCAAAACAUCGAACCUCGGCUGUCCCUCUGAUGAGCUCAUUUCUAAUUUGAUCCAACCUGGUCACUCCGAGAGCGAACCUCAACAUCUUCAUUUCCGCCACCUCCAGCUCUGCUUCCUGCUGUCUCGAAUCCGUCCAUCAUGGCUGGCCUCACCACUGUUUUAUCAACUUUGCCCUUCAUCCUAGCAGAGACUCUUCUGUCACAUAACACACCUGACACCUUCCUCCACCCGUUCCAACCUUCUUCUUCACUUCCUGACCACACUCCCCAUUGCUCUGGACGGUUGACCCCAAGUAUUUCAAGUCCUCCACCUUUGCUAUCUCUUCUUCCCUGUAGCCUCACUCUUCCCCCCACCACCCGUCUCAUUCAUGCACAUAUAUUCUGCCUUACUUCGGCUAAUCUUCAUUCCUCUUCUUUCCAGUGCAUGCCUCCAUCUUUCUAACUGUUCCUCCAGCUGCUCCCUGCUUUCACUGCAGAUCACAAUAUCAUCUGCAAACAUCACGGUCCACGGGGAUUCCAGUCUAACCUCAUCUGUCAGCCUAUCCAUCACCACUGCAAACAGGAAGGGGCUCAGGGCUGAUCCCUGAUGCAGUCCCACGUCCACCUUAAAUUCGUCUGUCACACCUACAGCACACCUCACCGCUGUUCUGCUGCCCUCGUACAUGUCCUGUACUAUUCUAACAGUUACGAAUGCCAUUAGGAGCGCUUAUAUUACUUUUACGUUCGUGUGUUUCUAAUAACAUGAUCCGCUGUGGUUACAUUUGUAUUAUUUAAAUUUACGCUUA